GUCCCUGUAGGGGCAAUGGACAGCGCGUUGGACUUCUAAUCCAAAGGUAGUGUGUUCGAAUCCCACCUGAGAUG
Molecule: transfer RNA, 74 nt
Filed under: Trichonephila clavata
Lineage: Eukaryota; Metazoa; Arthropoda; Arachnida; Araneae; Nephilidae
Rfam family: tRNA
About the family: Transfer RNA (tRNA) molecules are approximately 80 nucleotides in length. Their secondary structure includes four short double-helical elements and three loops (D, anti-codon, and T loops).
Source: Rfam by way of RNAcentral